ACGGGUGAGGAAUACAUCGGAAUCUACCUUUUCGUGGGGGAUAACGUAGGGAAACUUACGCUAAUACCGCAUAAGACCUUCGGGUGAAAGCCGGGGACCUUCGGGCCUGGCGCGGAUAGAUGAGCCGAUGUCGGAUUAGCUUGUUGGCGGGGUAAAAGCCCACCAAGGCGACGAUCCGUAGCUGGUCUGAGAGGAUGAUCAGCCACACUGGAACUGAGACACGGUCCAGACUCCUACGGGAGGCAGCAGUGGGGAAUAUUGGACAAUGGGCGCAAGCCUGAUCCAGCCAUACCGCGUGGGUGAAGAAGGCCUUCGGGUUGUAAAGCCCUUUUGUUGGGAAAGAAAUCCUGCCGGUUAAUAACCAGUAGGGAUGACGGUACCCAAAGAAUAAGCACCGGCUAACUUCGUGCCAGCAGCCGCGGUAAUACGAAGGGUGCAAGCGUUACUCGGAAUUACUGGGCGUAAAGCGUGCGUAGGUGGUUGUUUAAGUCUGUCGUGAAAGCCCUGGGCUCAACCUGGGAAUUGCGAUGGAUACUGGGCGACUAGAGUGUGGUAGAGGAUAGUGGAAUUUCCGGUGUAGCAG
Molecule: ribosomal RNA, 583 nt
Filed under: Pseudoxanthomonas sp. HRRK109
Lineage: Bacteria; Pseudomonadati; Pseudomonadota; Gammaproteobacteria; Lysobacterales; Lysobacteraceae
Description: bacterial SSU rRNA
Rfam family: Bacterial small subunit ribosomal RNA
Source: RNAcentral